CAUGGACACGCCCACUCUUUGUCUGGACCAUGUGGAGCUGCAGGGAAAUAUGUCUCCUGAUUUUGACCUGUACUUCAAUUCCACUGGGGCAACAAAAGAAGAACCACCUCCAGAUCUUGAGCUAGUCUUCAUCAGGACUAUCUGAGCUGGAGGAUUUGACCCGUUGUGUACGUUUUGGGUUGUUUGUGAAGGAAAACCAGAGAACCCAGAUAAAACCCAUCCAGACACAGGGAGAACAUGCAAACUGCACACAGAAAGACCCCACCUGCUCCUGAAGUCAAACCUGGGACCUUCUUGCUGUGAGGCUGGACACAAACCAACAAAUCCUCGCUGCCUGGGAGAAGUGUCUUGCCAAAGGAUGCAACAACACUGGGCAAAGCUGGACUGGAACCAUCAACAACAUGAGCAGCUGAUUUGAGAACUGUGUCCAUGUGAAGUGCGUGUGUUCAGACUGAGGCGUGUCUCUGGGUCCUGCAGCAGAAUCUGACCGCACUGCACCAGUCUGACCACACGGAGCAGCACACAGGACGUCCACACGUUACAGAGGACAGGGGAC
Molecule: long non-coding RNA, 556 nt
Organism: Boleophthalmus pectinirostris (great blue-spotted mudskipper)
Lineage: Eukaryota; Metazoa; Chordata; Actinopteri; Gobiiformes; Gobiidae
Exons: 3
Source: RefSeq, a predicted model, not a curated record